CCGGUCUCACUUCUUCGAUAAACAACGCUGGCGGCAGGCCUAACACAUGCAAGUCGAGCGGAAACGAGUUCUCUGAACCUUCGGGGAACGAUAACGGCGUCGAGCGGCGGACGGGUGAGUAAUGCCUAGGAAAUUGCCCUGAUGUGGGGGAUAACCAUUGGAAACGAUGGCUAAUACCGCAUGAUGCCUACGGGCCAAAGAGGGGGACCUUCGGGCCUCUCGCGUCAGGAUAUGCCUAGGUGGGAUUAGCUAGUUGGUGAGGUAAGGGCUCACCAAGGCGCGAUCCCUAGCUGGUCUGAGAGGAUGAUCAGCCACACUGGAACUGAGACACGGUCCAGACUCCUACGGGAGGCAGCAGUGGGGAAUAUUGCACAAUGGGCGCUAGCCUGAUGCAGCCAUGCCGCGUGUGUGAAGAAGGCCUUCGGGUUGUAAAGCACUUUCAGUCGUGAGGAAGGUAGUGUAGUUAAUAGCUGCAUUAUUUGACGUUAGCGACAGAAGAAGCACCGGCUAACUCCGUGCCAGCAGCCGCGGUAAUACGGAGGGUGCGAGCGUUAAUCGGAAUUACUGGGCGUAAAGCGCAUGCAGGUGGUUUGUUAAGUCAGAUGUGAAAGCCCGGGGCUCAACCUCGGAAUUGCAUUUGAAACUGGCAGACUAGAGUACUGUAGAGGGGGGUAGAAUUUCAGGUGUAGCGGUGAAAUGCGUAGAGAUCUGAAGGAAUACCGGUGGCGAAGGCGGCCCCCUGGACAGAUACUGACACUCAGAUGCGAAAGCGUGGGGAGCAACAGGAUUAGAUACCCUGGUAGUCCACGCCGUAUACGAUGUCUACUUGGAGGUUGUGGCCUUGAGCCGUGGCUUUCGGAGCUAACGCGUUAAGUAGACCGCCUGGGGAGUACGGUCGCAAGAUUAAAACUCAAAUGAAUUGACGGGGGCCCGCACAAGCGGUGGAGCAUGUGGUUUAAUUCGAUGCAACCGAAGAACCUUACCUACUCUUGACAUCCAGAGAACUUUCCAGAGAUGGAUUGGUGCCUUCGGGAACUCUGAGACAGGUGCUGCAUGGCUGUCGUCAGCUCGUGUUGUGAAAUGUUGGGUUAAGUCCCGCAACGAGCGCAACCCUUAUCCUUGUUUGCCAGCGAGUAAUGUCGGGAACUCCAGGGAGACUGCCGGUGAUAAACCGGAGGAAGGUGGGGACGACGUCAAGUCAUCAUGGCCCUUACGAGUAGGGCUACACACGUGCUACAAUGGCGCAUACAGAGGGCUGCCAACUUGCGAAAGGAGCGAAUCCAAAAAGUGCGUCG
This 1295-nucleotide ribosomal RNA is filed under the name Vibrio parahaemolyticus. RNAcentral's name for it is "bacterial SSU rRNA". It matches the Rfam family "Bacterial small subunit ribosomal RNA", at positions 1 to 1288 of the family's 1533-position model. Lineage: Bacteria; Pseudomonadati; Pseudomonadota; Gammaproteobacteria; Vibrionales; Vibrionaceae. The record is from RNAcentral.